UUGGGCCAAAGGCUACCAGGGGAAGGUUUUUACCUCGACACCUUAUCUUUAUUUAAUUGUUUUUUUCCUGUUAGUAUCUGUUUGAUUGUUGUUUUGUUUGUUUUAUUUUCUUUACUCUUUUACUAUUUCUCUGACUAUUAUUAUAUGUGUGUUGUGUUUUUAUUGGAUUUGUUUAUUUUAAACUUCAACUUUAUUUGUUAAUAGAGAAUGACGCC
Molecule: long non-coding RNA, 215 nt
Filed under: Vigna radiata
Lineage: Eukaryota; Viridiplantae; Streptophyta; Magnoliopsida; Fabales; Fabaceae
Description: long non-coding RNA (VRAD_LNC005227)
Source: RNAcentral